ACGUUUCAGUAAUGAAGGUUGUGAGGAUGUGUCUCAGACACUGAUAAGGAGAUUUAGUUACACAAGAUUUGAGGAACUCUGCUUGAUUCUGAUGACUCACUUGCCAUUUUAUGGUGACUGAAAGAGAACACCACAAACCAUGUUCUCAGAAACUGAAUGCUGGUCCAUGGAUCCCUGGGGAGAUAUGGAAGUGACACCAAAUCAGAGACCACUUCUGUAUUUUAGCAGAUACAGGAAACUGCAAGAAAAUUCAGCUCUAGAUUCAAGGAUUUUCCAAAAGUAUUGCACUGAUGUUAAGCACUGGUCCCCAGCACCGAGUGGCAAUUUAUCAUCUUUCUUGGCAGGCUUCCUACUUCGUCCUGCACCUGCCUCCUUGAAAGAAAACAAGACAUCAGAUACUUAUUCAAAUAAUGCAGUAGCUGAUCAGCAGAGUAUCUACACAAUGGACAUGGAAGGAUCACAUGCAGAGCCGAUGACACUCCUCAGAGUAGAUGCAGAGGAAAACAGGUGCAAGAUCUUAGCCCAUCAAAAUCUGGGAAGCAGAAUGAAUAGGCUCAAAGCCCUACUAAAGACUUAUUUAUAGCAAUGCCUUAUGACAGAUUUGACUGAAACUGAAUCCAAGCCAGAGAACUGGGACCCCUGUUUUAUUGGGCAAUUGUGGCCUCUAAGACUUGGGAUGGUACGGGUAAGCUGAGGACUGCUUCCUUAAAGCCUUCUUAACUUUUAUAUACGGUGUUUACAUGCUCAUAAAAAUGCAUCAGCUUGUAUAUAGGAUAGUAAGUGCUACCAAUUCCCUCAAUAAACUGCUGGUUUAUCCCAGUUUUCUAGUUCUUUUUCUUAUCUGAUCUCAGCUCAUGUGUACGUUUUUUUUUUUUCUCUGAUCUCUCAGUUUGUCUUAGUUACACAUCUCAUGGCUUGCUGAAUGAACACUGCCCUUGUUUUGCACUUGUUUCUGAAGGUUUUAUUGCUUGAUUUUGAGACCUAAAUGCUCUUGGCUAAUUAAUAAUGCAAUUACUGUGGUUUUUUUUUCCUCCAAUAUUACAUAAAUUUGUGUACACCCUGCCUCUGGAUUUAACUAUGGCAAUAUACUUAUACAGAUCAGAUAGUGUGUUUAUAGACACACUACAUUGGGGAAAUUUGGGUGAAACCUAUGAGAUACUGCAUAAAGAUAUUUUGUGUGCAUAUUCUUACAAUUUCCAAAUCAAUCAAAAAUUUCUAAAAUUUCACUGAGUAGGAGUUUUAUUUUUCUGUCAGUGAAAGGAAAACCUAGGAAGACCCUACUGACACAAACAUUCAGGUUACCAUGCAAUUACUACUGGUGAAAACUCUGAAAAAAUAAAGAUCUGGUAUAAAUUGCAACUGGAAAUAUUACUCAUCUGUCAGGCAUUUGUGCAGG
This is a long non-coding RNA of Gallus gallus (chicken), 1396 nucleotides long. RefSeq lists it as uncharacterized. The record is from RefSeq and is a predicted model, not a curated record. The transcript has 5 exons. NCBI's taxonomy places the organism in Eukaryota, Metazoa, Chordata, Aves, Galliformes, Phasianidae.